CAGCCGCCACGGGAAUACAGAGGGUGCGAGCGUUAAUCGGAUUUACUGGGCGUAAAGCGUGCGUAGGCGGCUUCUUAAGUCGGAUGUGAAAUCCCUGAGCUUAACUUAGGAAUUGCAUUCGAUACUGGGAAGCUAGAGUAUGGGAGAGGAUGGUAGAAUUCCAGGUGUAGCGGUGAAAUGCGUAGAGAUCUGGAGGAAUACCGAUGGCGAAGGCAGCCAUCUGGCCUAAUACUGACGCUGAGGUACGAAAGCAUGGGGAGCAAACAGGAUUAGAUACCCCUGUAUCCCUGUCUCUUAUACA
RNAcentral lists this ribosomal RNA (301 nucleotides) under uncultured bacterium. RNAcentral's name for it is "partial 16S ribosomal RNA". It matches the Rfam family "Bacterial small subunit ribosomal RNA", at positions 509 to 809 of the family's 1533-position model. The record is from RNAcentral.